UUCAAUUUCCUAAUUUUUUUACGUAACCGGUUACGCUCGAAUCGGUAACCGCUUACGGGCUUCGAAAAUAGCCCAGAAACCUAUUUUUCGUCAUUGGAGGCCUUUCGGACCCCCGAUUUUGAUUCCGUAAAAACCUCUGAUCUCAGAAUUCGACAUACUAUAAUUAUUUAAUGAUUAAAACAGAAAAUUCACAUUAUAUCAUAGAUUAGCAUAAAAAAAUCAUUCAUUCUCAUUAACUCAUAUGUACCCCAAACCUCCCAACAACAGCAAUUGCAAUAAUGCA
RNAcentral lists this long non-coding RNA (283 nucleotides) under Lathyrus oleraceus (garden pea). RNAcentral describes it as "Pisum sativum (pea) long non-coding RNA (PSAT_LNC021739)". Lineage: Eukaryota; Viridiplantae; Streptophyta; Magnoliopsida; Fabales; Fabaceae. The record is from RNAcentral.